UACAGAGGGUGCGAGCGUUGUUCGGAAUUAUUGGGCGUAAAGGGCGCGUAGGCGGUGCGGUAAGUCACCUGUGAAAUCUCCUGGCUUAACUGGGAGCCUGCAGGCGAAACUACCGUGCUGGAGUGUGGGAGAGGUGCGUGGAAUUCCCGGUGUAGCGGUGAAAUGCGCAGAUAUCAGGAAGAACACCCGUGGCUAAGGCGGCUCUCUAGUACGGUGCUGACGCUGAGACGCGAAAGCGUGGGGAGCGAACAGG
Molecule: ribosomal RNA, 253 nt
Filed under: uncultured bacterium
Lineage: Bacteria
Description: partial 16S ribosomal RNA
Rfam family: Bacterial small subunit ribosomal RNA
Source: RNAcentral